AAGUCGUAACAAGGUUUCCGUAGGUGAACCUGCGGAAGGAUCAUUAUUAAGAUCUAUUCUUUAUGUUUGUGCACCGAGGUUUAGCCGGGGCUAUCCUCACUUUUUUAUCAUAAUUUUUAAACUACUUUAAAUAGUAAUAUACAACUUUUAGCAAUGGAUCUCUUGGCUCUCG
RNAcentral lists this unclassified non-coding RNA (172 nucleotides) under fungal sp. Its description in RNAcentral is "partial internal transcribed spacer region". The stretch from base 1 to 46 matches the Rfam family "Eukaryotic small subunit ribosomal RNA", at positions 1786 to 1831 of the family's 1831-position model. Lineage: Eukaryota; Fungi. The record is from RNAcentral.